GCCAGUGUGGCAAAGUGGCUUGAAUGUUGGACUGUGACUCUGGAGACCAGGGUUCGAAUCCCGGCUCAGCCA
This 72-nucleotide transfer RNA is filed under the name Phrynosoma platyrhinos (Desert horned lizard). Its description in RNAcentral is "tRNA-OTHER". Lineage: Eukaryota; Metazoa; Chordata; Lepidosauria; Squamata; Phrynosomatidae. The record is from RNAcentral.